UACGUAGGGUGCAAGCGUUGUCCGGAAUUAUUGGGCGUAAAGAGCGUGUAGGCGGCCAGACAGGUCAGCUGUGAAAACUCGAGGCUCAACCUCGAGACGUCGGUUGAAACCGUCUGGCUAGAGUCCGGAAGAGGAGAGUGGAAUUCCCGGUGUAGCGGUGAAAUGCGCAGAUAUCGGGAAGAACACCCGUGGCGAAGGCGGCUCUCUGGGACGGUACUGACGCUGAGACGCGAAAGCGUGGGGAGCGAACAGG
This 253-nucleotide ribosomal RNA is filed under the name uncultured bacterium. RNAcentral describes it as "partial 16S ribosomal RNA". It matches the Rfam family "Bacterial small subunit ribosomal RNA", at positions 524 to 776 of the family's 1533-position model. The record is from RNAcentral.